This 561-nucleotide ribosomal RNA is filed under the name uncultured soil bacterium. RNAcentral describes it as "bacterial SSU rRNA". It matches the Rfam family "Bacterial small subunit ribosomal RNA", at positions 35 to 573 of the family's 1533-position model. The record is from RNAcentral.
GCUGGCGGCGUGGCAUAAGACAUGCAAGUCGAGCGAGAUUUUUUCCUGUAGCAAUACAGGGAAAAGUCUAGCGGCGAACGGGUGCUUAACACGUGGGCAACCUGCCGAGAAGUGGGGGAUAGCUCGCCGAAAGGCGAAUUAAUACCGCAUGUGAUUAGAGGGGACAUCCUUUCAAAAUCAAAGGUGGCGCAAGCUACCGCUUCUUGUGGGGCCCGCGGCCUAUCAGCUAGUUGGUGAGGUAACGGCCCACCAAGGCUUUGACGGGUAGCUGGUCUGAGAGGACGACCAGCCACACUGGGACUGAGACACGGCCCAGACACCUACGGGUGGCAGCAGUCGAGAAUUUUUCUCAAUGGGGGAAACCCUGAAGGAGCGACGCCGCGUGGAGGAUGAAGGUCUUCGGAUUGUAAACUUCUGUCAUUGGGGAACAAGGUGCAUACGUUAACUGCGUGCGCAUUGAUAGUACCCGAAGAGGAAGAGACGGCUAACUCUGUGCCAGCAGCCGCGGUAAUACAGAGGUCUCAAGCGUUGUUCGGAUUCAUUGGGCGUAAAGGGUGCGUA